UUAAGCGACUAAGCGUACACGGAGGAUGCCCUGGCAGUCAGAGGCGAUGAAGGACGUGCUAAUCUGCGAUAAGCGUCGGUAAGGUGAUAUGAACCGUUAUAACCGGCGAUUUCCGAAUGGGGAAACCCAGUGUGUUUCGACACACUAUCAUUAACUGAAUCCAUAGGUUAAUGAGGCGAACCGGGGGAACUGAAACAUCUAAGUACCCCGAGGAAAAGAAAUCAACCGAGAUUCCCCCAGUAGCGGCGAGCGAACGGGGAGGAGCCCAGAGCCUGAAUCAGUGUGUGUGUUAGUGGAAGCGUCUGGAAAGGCGUGCGAUACAGGGUGACAGCCCCGUACACAAAAAUGCACAUGUUGUGAGCUCGAUGAGUAGGGCGGGACACGUGGUAUCCUGUCUGAAUAUGGGGGGACCAUCCUCCAAGGCUAAAUACUCCUGACUGACCGAUAGUGAACCAGUACCGUGAGGGAAAGGCGAAAAGAACCCCGGCGAGGGGAGUGAAAAAGAACCUGAAACCGUGUACGUACAAGCAGUGGGAGCACGCUUAGGCGUGUGACUGCGUACCUUUUGUAUAAUGGGUCAGCGACUUAUAUUCUGUAGCAAGGUUAACCGAAUAGGGGAGCCGAAGGGAAACCGAGUCUUAACUGGGCGUUAAGUUGCAGGGUAUAGACCCGAAACCCGGUGAUCUAGCCAUGGGCAGGUUGAAGGUUGGGUAACACUAACUGGAGGACCGAACCGACUAAUGUUGAAAAAUUGCGGAUGACUUGUGGCUGGGGGUGAAAGGCCAAUCAAACCGGGAGAUAGCUGGUUCUCCCCGAAAGCUAUUUAGGUAGCGCCUCGUGAAUUCAUCUCCGGGGGUAGAGCGCUGUUUCGGCAAGGGGGUCAUCCCGACUUACCAACCCGAUGCAAACUGCGAAUACCGGAGAGUGUUAUCACGGGAGACACACGGCGGGUGCUAACGUCCGUCGUGAAGAGGGAAACAACCCAGACCGCCAGCUAAGGUCCCAAAGUCAUGGUUAAGUGGGAAACGAUGUGGGAAGGCCCAGACAGCCAGGAUGUUGGCUUAGAAGCAGCCAUCAUUUAAAGAAAGCGUAAUAGCUCACUGGUCGAGUCGGCCUGCGCGAAAGAUGUAACGGGGCUAAACCAUGCACCGAAGCUGCGGCAGCGACGCUUAUGCGUUGUUGGGUAGGGGAGCGUUCUGUAAGCCUGUGAAGGUGUACUGUGAGGUAUGCUGGAGGUAUCAGAAGUGCGAAUGCUGACAUAAGUAACGAUAAAGCGGGUGAAAAGCCCGCUCGCCGGAAGACCGAGGGUUCCUGUCCAACGUUAAUCGGGGCAGGGUGAGUCGACCCCUAAGGCGAGGCCGAAAGGCGUAGUCGAUGGGAAACAGGUUAAUAUUCCUGUACUUGGUGUUACUGCGAAGGGGGGACGGAGAAGGCUAUGUUGGCCGGGCGACGGUUAGUCCCGGUUUAAGCGUGUAGGCUGGUUUUCCAGGCAAAUCCGGAAAAUCAAGGCUGAGGCGUGAUGACGAGGCACUACGGUGCUGAAGCAACAAAUGCCCUGCUUCCAGGAAAAGCCUCUAAGCAUCAGGUAACAUCAAAUCGUACCCCAAACCGACACAGGUGGUCAGGUAGAGAAUACCAAGGCGCUUGAGAGAACUCGGGUGAAGGAACUAGGCAAAAUGGUGCCGUAACUUCGGGAGAAGGCACGCUGAUAUGUAGGUGAAGUCCCUCGCGGAUGGAGCUGAAAUCAGUCGAAGAUACCAGCUGGCUGCAACUGUUUAUUAAAAACACAGCACUGUGCAAACACGAAAGUGGACGUAUACGGUGUGACGCCUGCCCGGUGCCGGAAGGUUAAUUGAUGGGGUUAGCGCAAGCGAAGCUCUUGAUCGAAGCCCCGGUAAACGGCGGCCGUAACUAUAACGGUCCUAAGGUAGCGAAAUUCCUUGUCGGGUAAGUUCCGACCUGCACGAAUGGCGUAAUGAUGGCCAGGCUGUCUCCACCCGAGACUCAGUGAAAUUGAACUCGCUGUGAAGAUGCAGUGUACCCGCGGCAAGACGGAAAGACCCCGUGAACCUUUACUAUAGCUUGACACUGAACAUUGAGCCUUGAUGUGUAGGAUAGGUGGGAGGCUUUGAAGUGUGGACGCCAGUCUGCAUGGAGCCGACCUUGAAAUACCACCCUUUAAUGUUUGAUGUUCUAACGUGGACCCGUAAUCCGGGUUGCGGACAGUGUCUGGUGGGUAGUUUGACUGGGGCGGUCUCCUCCUAAAGAGUAACGGAGGAGCACGAAGGUUGGCUAAUCCUGGUCGGACAUCAGGAGGUUAGUGCAAUGGCAUAAGCCAGCUUGACUGCGAGCGUGACGGCGCGAGCAGGUGCGAAAGCAGGUCAUAGUGAUCCGGUGGUUCUGAAUGGAAGGGCCAUCGCUCAACGGAUAAAAGGUACUCCGGGGAUAACAGGCUGAUACCGCCCAAGAGUUCAUAUCGACGGCGGUGUUUGGCACCUCGAUGUCGGCUCAUCACAUCCUGGGGCUGAAGUAGGUCCCAAGGGUAUGGCUGUUCGCCAUUUAAAGUGGUACGCGAGCUGGGUUUAGAACGUCGUGAGACAGUUCGGUCCCUAUCUGCCGUGGGCGCUGGAGAAUUGAGGGGGGCUGCUCCUAGUACGAGAGGACCGGAGUGGACGCAUCACUGGUGUUCGGGUUGUCAUGCCAAUGGCACUGCCCGGUAGCUAAAUGCGGAAGAGAUAAGUGCUGAAAGCAUCUAAGCACGAAACUUGCCCCGAGAUGAGUUCUCCCUGACUCCUUGAGAGUCCUGAAGGAACGUUGAAGACGACGACGUUGAUAGGCCGGGUGUGUAAGCGCAGCGAUGCGUUGAGCUAACCGGUACUAAUGAACCGUGAGGCUUAACCUU
Molecule: ribosomal RNA, 2902 nt
Filed under: Escherichia coli BCE001_MS16
Lineage: Bacteria; Pseudomonadati; Pseudomonadota; Gammaproteobacteria; Enterobacterales; Enterobacteriaceae
Description: bacterial LSU rRNA
Rfam family: Bacterial large subunit ribosomal RNA
Source: RNAcentral